This is a non-coding RNA of Pimephales promelas (fathead minnow), 1124 nucleotides long. The record is from RefSeq and is a predicted model, not a curated record. NCBI's taxonomy places the organism in Eukaryota, Metazoa, Chordata, Actinopteri, Cypriniformes, Leuciscidae.
ACACACACACACAAUGCAUUCAGUGGCUUGGCUUUUUAAAUGCUAAUUUCUUUUGGGACUGGCAGCUCAAGUUUGCCCCUAUUCCCCUGCCCCCCUCAUUAGUAUUCAGGAAAGGUGAUAGGGUUUACAUCGUGUCAAUCUUCAACAAGUGUUACGGAGAGCAGAGUGGAGAUGUUACUCCUUUACAUAGGGACAAUGUGGCUAUUAAAUCUCUGAGUUCGAACGAAAACAGACUGGUGUAUAGACUGGUGUAUAUGGCAAAUGAAAGUUUGAAGAGGAUAUUUGAAAAGCUGGAGAUGUUGGACAUGAGGUUGGAUAAGAUGAAGGCUGACAUCAAUGAGCUCAAAGAGGCAAAAGAGGAGCCUGCUUCAAAGAAAUCAAAGAGAGCUGGGAAUAAUUCUGUUGCGGAAGCUGUAUGGAGAUUGCACAAUGGGGAAAACAAUGUACACAAAUAUGACCCACAGACAAGUCUAUCCUCCUCCCACAACCUUGAGGUCAUAACCUAUCUUUUUAAUGGCUGUACCGGACGUAGAUCCUGCUGUUGUUAAAGUAUCCUGCUAUUUUGAAACUGUUAGAAAGGGUUACACGAUGGCCCAAGAUGAGAACAAAGACAAGAUGGAGGACAGCAGGAUCAUUAUGCUCAUGAGACAAAGAAAAAGAAGACUACUGAGCUGCAGGACUGGGAUUCUCCAGACAGACGAAGAUGCAUCUAUCUGGAAGACUGCAACAGUUGACCACAUGUCUGAACAGUAGGAUGCCAUCUUGGAUGGAAAGUCGGUGUGGGUUGUUCGGGUUAUUAUAUUGUUUUACAUAUAUUAUACACAGGCCUUAUAUAUUAUAUGGGGUUAUUUGUUGUAUGACUAAUAGUAAAACGUAUUCUGUGCUAAUGUUUUUUAUUAUUAUUUAUAGAGUUUUGACUGUGUGUAUAUAAAUAUAUAUGUCAUGUGUCCAGUGUCAUUUACAAAUAAUAAAAAUAACAAACUCAACUUUGUCUAUCUGAUUGUCUUGACAUUAUAACUAGGGAUGGGAAUUGAUAAGAUUUUAUCGAUAUCGAUGCCACUAACGAUUCUGCUUAUCGAUCCGAUUCUUUAACGAUUCUCUUAUCGAUUCCUGAUAGCACUGUG